RNAcentral lists this transfer RNA (62 nucleotides) under Shewanella hanedai. It matches the Rfam family "tRNA", at positions 7 to 64 of the family's 71-position model. Rfam says of the family: Transfer RNA (tRNA) molecules are approximately 80 nucleotides in length. Their secondary structure includes four short double-helical elements and three loops (D, anti-codon, and T loops). The record is from RNAcentral. RNAcentral also lists the same sequence under 2 other names. Lineage: Bacteria; Pseudomonadati; Pseudomonadota; Gammaproteobacteria; Alteromonadales; Shewanellaceae.
CUGUAGUUCAGUUGGUAGAACGGCGGACUGUUAAUCCGUAUGUCACUGGUUCGAGUCCAGUC